This 507-nucleotide ribosomal RNA is filed under the name Oocyclus miza. RNAcentral's name for it is "partial 16S ribosomal RNA". It matches the Rfam family "Bacterial large subunit ribosomal RNA", at positions 1839 to 2608 of the family's 2925-position model. The record is from RNAcentral. Lineage: Eukaryota; Metazoa; Arthropoda; Insecta; Coleoptera; Hydrophilidae.
UUUAAUAUUUAAAGUCUAGUCUGCUCAAUGAAAUUUAAAUGGCCGCAGUAUUUUGACUGUGCAAAGGUAGCAUAAUCAUUAGUUUCUUUAUUAGGAACUCGUAUGAAUGGCUGGAUGAGAAAUGUGCUGUCUCUAUAUAAUUUUACAAUAAUUUUAUUUUUAAGUUAAAAAGCUUAAAUAUUUAUUAAAGACGAGAAGACCCUAUAGAGUUUGAUUUAUUUAAUUUUAUAAUUUAUUAAGAAUUUAGAUUUUAUAUGAUUAAUUAAAUUUUGUUGGGGUGACAGGAAUAAUUAAUAAACUUUUCUUUUUUAUAACAUUUAUUUAUGAUUUGUUGAUCCAAUAUUUUUGAUUAUAAGAUUAAAUUACCUUAGGGAUAACAGCGUAAUUUUUUUUGAGAGUUCUUAUCGAAAAAGGAGAUUGCGACCUCGAUGUUGGAUUAAAAUUUAGGGUUGGCGUAGAAGUUAACCUUUUGAGUCUGUUCGACUUUUAAAAUUUUACGUGAUCUGA